GCCCCCCCUCCCACUCCGCCCCCCCCCCGCCUUCGAUGCUCCCCGCCGCACGUCCGUCUUCCUGGCAGUCAGGUGACAGACCGGGUUCCCGGGUCCCCCACCCCCGCUGCUCCCAGGUUGUCCUAAGCGGUGUGUCCGUCGCCGUUCCACUGCCUGGGAGUCUUUCCAGAGAAGGUGCUCGGGAUAGAAAAGCAGUAUCUAUGAUUUCCAGCCUCUUGAUUUCCAGUCUCACUUGGACUUAA
RNAcentral lists this long non-coding RNA (242 nucleotides) under Cricetulus griseus (Chinese hamster). RNAcentral's name for it is "lncRNA (ENSCGRG00000026475.1)". Lineage: Eukaryota; Metazoa; Chordata; Mammalia; Rodentia; Cricetidae. The record is from RNAcentral.